Molecule: long non-coding RNA, 3004 nt
Organism: Solenopsis invicta (red fire ant)
Lineage: Eukaryota; Metazoa; Arthropoda; Insecta; Hymenoptera; Formicidae
Exons: 4
Source: RefSeq, a predicted model, not a curated record
GCCGCGCUUCUUUUGUCCGAUCGAUAGAUCUUCCUUCAGCCAGCUUCUCAAGCUCGGCCGAACGGGCACAACAAUAUAUAUAAGCGCCUUAUAUCUAUUGUGGUUAAGAUUGAUUACGUUCAAGUUGACAAAUAGCUACAAGCGAUUGAACGUGAUAAGGUUCUUACAAAUCCAACUGAUCACAUUUAUCGCUGAGAUUCACGCGCCGAUAACUGAUCGAUAGUCUUGUGUGUGUUGUGUGCGAUGGUUUGAUUUGUUUUGAGCAUGUGUAUUGUCCACUAGGCGCAAGCCUUGCAAGCCUCUUUCCAGUCACUUUCAGUACCAUAUAUGAAUAUAUGUUCUAAGGGUGUCUCAUCGUAAACACACGUGGCGAAAAUUCAAUGUAUAAAAGGAUAUGUAUUAUUUUAGGUAAAUAUGCAGCAAUAAUGCAAUCUCUUCCAAAGUGAUUAGGUUAUAAUGAUAUAAACCUAUAAUCUAACCUAAUCUUGUAUUAAAUUUCUUACCUAACCUAGUUAAUGAGAUUUUUUGACUUGAAUUCUUGUCCUACGUAUCUCGUGGUACACUCCAUGUAUAUUUUUUUAGUUAUAUCCUGUACAAUUUAACAUAUUUCUUUUCAAUAAUGUAAACUACACAUAAUAAAUAUGCAACGUGUACAGCACUUUAUAUCAGAAAAAUGGAAAACUGGCAAUUUACGAUUGCGGAAUUUUUUGAUGGAUUACAAUUGAUACUCACAGUAUGAUACAAUGCUAAUAAAAUGUCAUGUAUAUGGCCUAGUUAUAUGGAAACUAAAUUGCGCAUUAAUAUGGCAAGAGAAAUGCCACGAGAAAAAUCUGAUUGAGAAGAACUACCACUUAAAAGAAUUUUAGGCACAGGAAACUUAUGAAGAAGGUAUGCAGAAACUAAUUUUAACGCAAGAUACAUCAAAUAUAGAUGAUACAGGGAUAUCAUCAGAUGAAUUAAGGAAACAAAAAAAAAAGAGAAGACGUAUACAAGCUAAAAGACAUGCAUCAUCCCCCUCUUCUUCUUCAGAAGACAUAUCUUUAAAGGAUAAGAAAAAUCAAUUAAACGUAAAUCAAUCUAAAAUCCUGCCUCCUUUUCCUUAAAGAAGUACAGUAUCAAUUGAUAAAGUAGUUAAUAAAUCUACACAAAAUAUUUUACAUGAAAACAAUUUUAAUCCUACGAACAACACAUACAGUAAUGGUGAGUAAUAAAAUUUAUAAAUAAACUAUAUGACACAAAAAAUUAUUAAUAACUUUUACUCUUUAGAUACAAAUAAAAAAGCAACUUGAUAAAAAUAAACUUUGUAUGCAAGAUUCUCCAAAAAAUAUCGAAAAAGAAAAUUUUUAUGCUGAUGGUAUUUACUAUAAAAAUAAAUUAUUAAAUUUUUUAUUUCUUUUAUUAAAAAGCUGUGCUGAGAAAUGUAUGUCUAUGCGCGUGUGUCUAGUUAUUGUAUGAUAGUGUUACGGCCGUGCUAUUUGUAAUGUGUUACCGUGUAGCUUUUUUAUUCGAUAUUAAUGAGUUGACGGUUGCUUGUUAGCGACGCUUGUUGCUAUGCUGUUUUUGUCUGAAGCCUCGUUUGGUAACGGACGUGUUUCAAUAAACGUCUGAGUUUCUUUAAAAGUCUGCUCAAUCAUUUAUUGUACGCGAGUGCCUUUUUGUGCGAGAGUGCGCGUGAGUGUCCUAUGCCACCGACGGACGUAACAAUAUUUAGCAUUUUAAAUAUUGUACCAUAACAACAUUACUAAAAUAUAUAAUAAAUUUAUUUCAGAUUUAACUAAACAAAUUACAGGAAAAAUUAACAAAGUAUUAUAUAAAUUGGAUAAUAUUGAAAAUAGAUUUGAUAUUUAUUAGAGGAAAAAAUACAACCUUCCAGGCAUUACAAUGAUUCAGAAUUCGAUAUCCAGUUCCCGAUAUCUACAUUUACUGAAUUGAUAAACUUUGAGGAACAAUUGAAAGAAACUACUGUCACGAGUGGCGAAAGCCACCGCUGACGAAACAAUUAAUUACAAAAUACAAUUUGUUUAUAUUAUGCCACCGGUAUCGGUAAUGCCGACAUCAUGACACAGUAACCGAUACCAGGAACGCUGAAUAGGCGACCUUCUCGAGUGGACAACAGAUCUGCUAAAUCUGCAAGGCCAGAUCGGCCAGCUCUCCAAUAACUAGAGAGCCAACGACAGACGCGGUAGACUCAGGUUAAAGCACGCGACAGUCUAUUUCGGUACUAUCUUACCUAUCUCAAAUAAAAGGCAGUGUAACAAACUAUAAUAAAGAACUUUAUUAUUAACCGUACAACGAGUGUUUAAUUCAAACGUCUCCGAUCGACGGGCUCCUGCCAAACGAAUCCGAGGAAAUCACGCAUAACACCACAUUUGAGGACAAAGUACUUCGCAUUUUAAAAAGUGUUGGUGGGUUUAAUGCACAUACUAUGGUAAGAAGUAUUUUGAAAAAAGUAACAGUAGAUCCUUUAGCGCAAAAUUUUAACUGGACUGGCAAAAACAAUAAGUGUUGUUUCAAAGAUUUAAGUCUUUCUAAAGUGAUCGUAUAGACUGUUCGUGUAACAUAUCAAUUAACGGAAAGUGACAUUGCAGACUACAUAUCAAAACGGCUUGCUCAAGCUUCUGUAAGAAUUCAAAGAAAUAAGUAUGUAUACGUAUGUUUUCUCUGUUAGGAAUGUCAUGAUUAUAUAUAGAUUAAUCAGAUUUCUUGGUUUGGAAUUUAAUCAAAUUAAAAUUGAUUUAUAGCAAUAUAGAAUAAGCAAUAGUCAGAUGUCACUUUUUUGUUCAUGCUGAAUCAAUGCUGAAAAAAUUAUAAAUAUAUUAUCUGAAUAUUAUAUGUAAAAUUCUUUAGAAUAUUGUUAUAAUUUUGUUAUUACACUCAAACGAAAAAAUCUAAUUGAAACAUUUGUAGAAUAUAGUUAAUUAUUGAUUUAAUUAAAUGUAUAACUUUGAUCUUUAUACUGAUGUUUCAGAGAUACUCAAGAAAAAAUCAAAGAAGUUAAAAUAUA